UGCAGUCGAACGCGUGUAGCAAUACACGAGUGGCGCACGGGUGAGUAACGCGUGGAUAUCUGCCUUUUGGUUCGGAAUAACUCCGGGAAACUGGAGCUAAUACCGGAUGGUUCCUACGGGAUAAAGAUUUAUCGCCAAAAGAUGAGUCCGCGUACGAUUAGCUAGUUGGUGAGGUAAUGGCUCACCAAGGCGACGAUCGUUAGCUGGUCUGAGAGGACGAUCAGCCACACUGGGACUGAGACACGGCCCAGACUCAUACGGGAGGCAGCAGUGGGGAAUAUUGGACAAUGGGGGCAACCCUGAUCCAGCCAUGCCGCGUGAGUGAUGAAGGCCUUCGGGUUGUAAAGCUCUUUUGGCGGGGACGAUGAUGACGGUACCCGCAGAAUAAGCCCCGGCUAACUUCGUGCCAGCAGCCGCGGUAAGACGAAGGGGGCUAGCGUUGUUCGGAAUUACUGGGCGUAAAGCGAGUGUAGGUGGUUGUCAUAGUCAGGUGUGAAAGCCUUGAGCUCAACUCAAGAAAUGCACUUGAUACUGGGCGACUAGAGGACCGGAGAGGAUAGUGGAAUUCCCAGUGUAGUGGUGAAAUACGUAGAGAUUGGGAAGAACACCAGUGGCGAAGGCGGCUAUCUGGACGGUUUCUGACACUAAGA
Molecule: ribosomal RNA, 650 nt
Filed under: uncultured bacterium
Lineage: Bacteria
Description: bacterial SSU rRNA
Rfam family: Bacterial small subunit ribosomal RNA
Source: RNAcentral